CAGAACAUAGCUUAACAGAAAAGCACCUCCCUUACACCGAGGAGACACCCGUGCAAACCAGGUUGCUCUGA
RNAcentral lists this transfer RNA (71 nucleotides) under Pao leiurus. Its description in RNAcentral is "Monotrete leiurus tRNA-Val". It matches the Rfam family "tRNA". Rfam says of the family: Transfer RNA (tRNA) molecules are approximately 80 nucleotides in length. Their secondary structure includes four short double-helical elements and three loops (D, anti-codon, and T loops). Further hydrogen bonds mediate the characteristic L-shaped molecular structure. tRNAs have two regions of fundamental functional importance: the anti-codon, which is responsible for specific mRNA codon recognition, and the 3' end, to which the tRNAs corresponding amino acid is attached (by aminoacyl-tRNA synthetases). tRNAs cope with the degeneracy of the genetic code in two manners: having more than one tRNA (with a specific anti-codon) for a particular amino acid; and 'wobble' base-pairing, i.e. permitting non-standard base-pairing at the 3rd anti-codon position. RNAcentral also lists the same sequence under 4 other names. The record is from RNAcentral. Lineage: Eukaryota; Metazoa; Chordata; Actinopteri; Tetraodontiformes; Tetraodontidae.